AAAGCAUCACGAGCUCUUCGCUAAACUUGGAGGUCAAGGAGAAGAAUAUCCGUGGAUGAGAGUCAGCAACAAGCAAGGUGGACAGGGGGUGAAAUACACGCUGAAGUUUGCGAGCAACGACGAGAAGUGCGGUAUUCUUACACUUCACCUCCAAGGCAAGGACCAUUGCGAAAUGCAUGUUUGGGAUAGUUAUGUCGAUACAGAAUUG
Dermacentor andersoni is the source of this 208-nucleotide long non-coding RNA. RefSeq lists it as uncharacterized. Lineage: Eukaryota; Metazoa; Arthropoda; Arachnida; Ixodida; Ixodidae. The record is from RefSeq and is a predicted model, not a curated record.